RNAcentral lists this ribosomal RNA (464 nucleotides) under uncultured bacterium. RNAcentral's name for it is "partial 16S ribosomal RNA". It matches the Rfam family "Bacterial small subunit ribosomal RNA", at positions 339 to 795 of the family's 1533-position model. The record is from RNAcentral.
CUACGGGUUGCAGCAGUGGGGAAUAUUGCACAAUGGGCGCAAGCCUGAUGCAGCCAUGCCGCGUGUAUGAAGAAGGCCUUCGGGUUGUAAAGUACUUUCAGCGGGGAGGAAGGGAGUAAAGUUAAUACCUUUGCUCAUUGACGUUACCCGCAGAAGAAGCACCGGCUAACUCCGUGCCAGCAGCCGCGGUAAUACGGAGGGUGCAAGCGUUAAUCGGAAUUACUGGGCGUAAAGCGCACGCAGGCGGUUUGUUAAGUCAGAUGUGAAAUCCCCGGGCUCAACCUGGGAACUGCAUCUGAUACAGGCAAGCUAGAGAGUCGUAGAGGGGGGUAGAAUUCCAGGUGUAGCGGUGAAAUGCGUAGAGAUCUGGAGGAAUACCGGUGGCGAAGGCGGCCCCCUGGACGAAGACUGACGCUCAGGUGCGAAAGCGUGGGGAGCAAACAGGAUUAGAUACCCGAGUAGUC